Molecule: ribosomal RNA, 506 nt
Filed under: uncultured bacterium
Lineage: Bacteria
Description: partial 16S ribosomal RNA
Rfam family: Bacterial small subunit ribosomal RNA
Source: RNAcentral
AGUGAACGCUGGCGGUAGGCCUAACCCAUGCAAGUCCAACGGCAGCACAGGAGAGCUUGCUCUCUGGGUGGCGACUGGCGGACGGGUGAGGAAUACAUCGGAAUCUACUCUGUCGUGGGGGAUAAACUAGGGAAACUUACGCUCAUACCGCAUACGACCUACGGGUGACAGCAGGGGACCUUCGGGCCUUGCGCGAUUGAUUGAGCCGAUGUCGGAUUAGCUAGUUGGCGGGAUACAGGCCCACCAAGGCGACGAUCCGUAGCUGGCCUGAGAGGAAGAUCAGCCACACUGGAACUGAGGCACGGUCCAGACUCCUACGGGAGGCAGCAGUGGGGAAUAUUGGACAAUGUGCGCAAGCCUGAUCCAGCCAUACCUCGUGGGUGAAGAAGGCCUUCGUGUUGUAAAGCCCUUUUGUUGGGAAAGAAAUCCAGCUGGCUAAUACCCGGUUUGGAUGACGGUACCCAAAGAAUAAGAGGUUGCUAACUCUGUGCCAGCCGCCGCCGUAA